Molecule: long non-coding RNA, 1436 nt
Filed under: Bos taurus (domestic cattle)
Lineage: Eukaryota; Metazoa; Chordata; Mammalia; Artiodactyla; Bovidae
Description: long non-coding RNA NONBTAT024043
Source: RNAcentral
GGUACUUCCUGUCUCUGAUCUAUGAGCCCUCACCAGUGCCCUGUACUGAAGAAUCCAUCUAGGGCCUUGACUUUCUGUUUGACCCAAGAUCUGAUCCCCCUUCAGAUGAAAACACUAAGAACAUUUACUCUGUGUGUGAUGCAUUGUAUUUCUCUAAUUUAGUAACAUAUUAGUGUUCUGUUUGAGUUCCUGAAUUAGAUACCUGAGGUGUCCAUUAUUCAGAACUUCAAGGAGGGCAGAUUUAAAGUGUUCUUGUUGGUUUUUAAUCAUAAUGUGUUUCUUGGUUGGUUGUUUUCCUUCCCUUAUUUGUUCAGUUGACUUUGGUCUUCCUGAUUUAAGUACAAUGCUGUGUGUGUGUGUGUUUUAAUUAGUUUUUUGUAAAGAGUCAGUUAUUCUCCGUAAGUGAUCCUUAGAAUGAAAAUCUUAUGGUAGUGCUGGUGCUUCGGUGCUGCAUUUAUUCACAGUACUUCAUUAGACGUGAUGUGUAAGAAGAGACGCUUGGGCCGGGGCGUUGAUUCUGUUCCUGCACUGACGGCAGCUCUCCUUGUGAUCAUCUUGAAUAAUGUUGCUCCAAUCUCCAUGGACCUUUAUUUCUUUACUAAAAAUAAGUGUGUUGGGUUAUCAUUUGCCAUUCUAACAGUCUAGAAAUCUGCCCCUUAAAUAGCUUCAUCUCUUUUAGUUCUCAACAAGAUCAAUUGUGUUUUUACUGAUUUCAUAUUAAGUAGAUUCUUUUAUGAAACCAUACCAGGAGACCCUUUAAUUUCAUGAGUAAUUAGUCUCCUUCAGUUUGGGUGUUUGAUGAUAGAAAUGAUGAUAAAGUUUCCCGUAGGUCGCUAAUCCUGUCUAUGAAAGGAAGUGGAUGCCUGUCCACUUUAGUCCCAUCUGGCGAUACUCUGUGAUCUGUGUCCUACCUGGCUUGUUUGUUUUUCUUUUCCUUACCUUGCCCUUGAUUUGUAAAUCUAUCCUUCUGGUCUGUAGGCUUUUGUGUAACUCAUACACAGUGCUAGCCUAGAUAUUCUGUCCUGGCAUAACUAGUCGCUUGAAGAAGGGAGAGAUGGAUCACUUAUCAUUCUGGUUACACUGACUGUGAGAGGCAUGCAUUUGUGUAGAAUUCUUUUAAUUAAAUUCUGAUUCAUUAUGAUUUCCCUUUAUCUUGCCAGCAGAUUGUUUCUGUUACUUGGAUUUAUAGUCUUCUGCCUCUGGACAAUAUGACUAACUACACAGUAGAUCUGAUUUGAAUGACUAGUCAGAAAGAUUCCAUAUAUGCUGUUUUUCCAUAUUAAAACACAAAUUGUUUUUUAUUUGUUGUCUCAAUAUAUUUUGUUUAUAAAAGGUCCAUGUUGUGUAUUUUGCAGCUGAUUUAUAAAAGAUUAACUUGAUAGCUACAUGAGAAAAUUGAAAACCCAUUUAUCAACAUCAAAUGAAACACUGUCUCA